AUUUCAAUGCAAUAAGGAGUUGAACAUCAACUCAAAUUGGAUUUGUCAGAUUAUUUUUCUUUAACAAGGUCUAAUCUGGAGCAAGAAUCUGUACACAAACACAGAGCUAGCAAGAUUAUUCUGAAAAAGGCGAGGACUUAUGAUCUUCUUAUCCUCGAAGAACAUUCUUUAUACAAGUAUGAACCCUUUUAUUUUCCGAUAUCCAUGGAACAAUAAUAAUCAAGUUGAUGUGUAUUGUUACAACAACUCGUGCGAGGACGUUAAGCGCCUAAUGGAAAUUUUUGGUUGAAAUUGAUCCCGAAUCGAAUUCUGCAGUCAACUGCUGCUAAUGGGCAUCAGUCUUCCUCAUCCACUUCAUGAAAAGGAAGUGGCACUGUUUUAACAGCUCUAAACUUACCAGCAUUAUUUAGAUGCUCAUUCUCCAACCUGUAAAAAUUCCACUGCCCUCUUCUAAUGACUUCAAGGGCAGCCAAGAAUAGCCCAGUUACUCUAUAAUCAACAUGUUCAAAAUUUGAAUGCAGGACUGUCUGUAACCAAGCAAGCCUGAGGAUAAGGUUCAAUCCCAUGGAGAAGUAGUAAAUGAACUUUCGACGAAGCAUUAAUUCAUUCCUUAGCCAAGGGUUCUUGGAAUUCAUUUGGAGCAAACCCCAAUCCUUUACAAAAUCCCAAUACAAUUGGUAAACUGUCGCAGCACUUGACAUAACCACAACAAGACACAGCCAUCCAACGCUCCUUUCUUUCUCAUAGGCCACUUUGGCUCCUGCUGCUAACAUAGCUGAUACGUACUUGCCUAGAUUGACAAGGUGGCUUGUCUGUCCUUCAUCGAACCAUCGCCUGGCACACUGCAUAGCUCUCCAGUAGUAUGGCAGGAAGGACACAGCAUAAGCAAGAUCACUGUAAUGCUUGGCCCUCAUGCAGUAGCCAUAGUCCUGUGUUUUGAAGCUCCCGGUUAUAUAGUAACAUGCCACAUACUCAAGGUUCCUAAGCAUUGGUACCUGACUACAGAGUUGGUCAGCCAUGAAGAAGUCCAGCAUCACAACCUUAUAGAGAGGUGAAAAAAUGAUGUUCCUUAUUACACAAAGGAAACGGUAACGACUAGACCGGUAGCAUAUGUUGAAGGGGCACACUAGCAAUGACAGGAGCAUCAAUAACAGAAGACCAGGGAUGGCUUGAACUUGGGAAUACGAAUACCCUUUUGUAAGAAGUGACAAAUGAAUAAACAUGACUCCAACUACAGCAGUCAUCGCCACGGUACACAUCAAGAACACUUCUCUGUACUUAAGCUCCUUGGUAGGGGCAAAUUCAAAAAUAAAGCUAUAAUUUAUCCUAGUCUUCCUCCACAUAAAAAUGUUGCAACCAUACAGAAAGAAGUGUAGGAACAGCAGGCUGAACAUGCUAAGCACAGGAUAGACAGUUUCCAUGUAGACUGUAUCUGCCUGUCGUCUGUACAUCCCAGUAAUAUGAGCCAUUAUAACAUAUCCAGCAAGAAGAGCAAUGAAGCACCCAGUGAACAAUCCAAUGAAGAAGGUUACACUGUGUGAUAAUUUACGUUGUUGGGGUUUAAGAUAUUUCAUGGCCUUUCUUCUGUCCUCUUGAGCGAAAUGUCUACCAAAUAGCUCCUCAACUUCGUCAACUAAAUUCAUUACCUUGUCAGAGCUGUUAAAAUAGGAACUUUCAAGAACUUUUAGAUAGAUGGGAAGAACUUGCUUUCCAGUGACCUUAUCAAACUUCUUCAAAAUCUUUAUAAAAGCUAGCAAAUUCAAGUUCCUGUAAGUCUUGAGGUAACUUAGUCCUUUAUAGAGCUCAACAAAAGCUCCUUUAAUCAUCUUCUCCGCAUGAUGCAACUUUGUUUUGUUGACAUGCAGUCUCUUUCCUUCAGGGUUGCAUUUCUUGGACGACUGGUUAAUUAAAUCUUGCCAAACUAGAUAACUAAGAGCAGAAAAGGUACGAGAAGGUGUUGUUAAAGGAACGUUUAUCUUUAAGUUCUUUCCCUGGCAAUUGAUAACACAACCGGAGAGUGUCCUCAGUUUGUUCUCUUCUCUUUUCAUUCCCAUUGAUUGUCCCAUCUCUUCUGAUCUUGGGGAGUCUAGCCCUUCAUUUUUUUCCAAGUCAUCUGAGCUGGUUUCUUGCACCUGCUCUUCUUCUGUUCUGUCCUUUACAGAGUCCUCCUCACAAGAGAUGGUGCAUGAUAUAGAUACGUCCUCCUUGGAGUCCUGACCAGAAGCUCCAUUGCCACGCUGUUGCUUGCAAGCAGUUUUGAGCCCAGUGAGAAUGUCCAAUUGUUUCUUCAAGGAUUCCCCCCUCUCCAAGAACUCUUUCUCCUUAGUUUUGUAAAAUUGAUUCACUUUGUUAAGUUGAAGGUCCAAACAUGCAAAGAACUCCUUGGCCGCUUCAGUAUCCUGAUCAAAUUGUUCAAUAACUUCUGUUUCAUACAUAUCUUCCUUACUCACCGACGAUGCAAGUUUCUUAUGGACUUGAAUGGGUCCAUGGUCUCUAUGUUGAUGGGAAAAUGGAAUCGGGGAGUACUUCUGGAUAGAAGAAAAGAAGUUGGAUAGAAACGCACGUUGUUGGUGGUGGUGCUUGGAGGUGUUUGUAUUACUAUUAAGAAAAUGGAACUUUUUGAUGUCCUUCUUGAGCUGCCAGUAAUCAACAAAGGCCUCUUUCCACUCAGGCACAAGCUGACCCUCAAAUUGCUUGGAGAACUUCACCAUCCUUUCUUUCUUGGUAAAAGAAAUGAGAGUUAUGCUAUACGUGAGGCUAGCUAGCUAAUGUCGAAAAUGUGUUUCAAUUGUUACCCAUGAUCACCAUAAUUUAUGGGGAAUGACUAGUGAGAAAAGAGAAUAUGUAUGAUCACUGUAAAGACCUAUUUCUAUAUAAAAUUAAACAUUUUGAUUAAUUUUUUAUUAGAGUGAAAUUGACUCGGAUAAUUAAUAGUGCAAAUUCAGAAAGGGUCAUGCAAAGCCUCUGAGUUGAAGAUUUAAGCAAUUGAUUACACCCAGACAAAUUCUUUGGACGGUGGAUUUGUUCGCAGAAAAUGAGUGUCUGCCCAAAACUCUUUUGCUUUUUUCAUCAUCCCAUGAAGGAAAGCAUCGGCACUAAGUAAUUAACAUACCAGGUUAGGGCAAAUCAGUAAUUUGGGAUGCAUAACAAGCUUUCUUGUUUGGUUAUUAAUGAUUAUAAAACCCGAAGCUUUCAAAAGAUUUGUCAUUGCCGCCCAGGCAAUUGGCACUGCAAAUGCAAUUCACUCCCUUUUCUUUAUCUAACACUUCCUUUUCAGGUUCUGCUUAGCUUCUUCUUCCUCUCCCGGGGAUGCUUUAAAAACCCAUACCUUAACCUCCACAAAUGUCCUCCCCAACAGAGAGCUUUUCUCUUGACUCCUGCUUUUAGGUAUGCAUUUUAACUUUGCCGCAUGUUUAAAUUUUGUUCAACUUUUUGUUUUUCCUUUCUUUUUGUCAGCUUCUAUAGAUGAACAGUAAGCUUUGAGGCUUCAGUUGCUUAAUGCUUGCUUGAAGAAAGUUUAGGAGAAUUUUUGGUUAGGUUGGCAUGAGGGAAAGUAUCUGAUACCAAGUGGAUGGUGUCUGGAAUGUGCGUAUUCAUUACUCUACUCCUCUUUCUACUUUAUGAUGGGAAAGCAAUUUGCUUAUAAAAAUACUUAAUUAAGGCUAAGAUUGAUCCAUUGGCUAUGAAAGGAUGAUAUUUUCUGAAGGAGACCUAUCUCCCUUGGAUCAAACCAUUCAAACAAUUUGAACUGAACUCUUUUAACUAAAGAUUUAUACUGUGAAUACUCUUCCAAUGGAAAUGAAUAUCCAGAAAAAUGGUAAGGUCAACCAGAUGGUUUUUGUUUCUCAAUUCUUUGCUCUUUGAGCUGUGUUCAUUAAUUGUAUCAAGUGGGAAGACACCUAAAAAUUAGCUACUCUAACAUGCAACUAAAACUUAUUAAUUAUGAGGAACACUAGAUACACAUGUGAUACAUGGCUUAAACAAGAUUCCAAACUGUGCAUGUUUUUUUGCUUAAAAAUUUACUGUUACUAGUGUCUCUUUCAUUCUUGUUUUCUGGUUUGCAAUUUGCAUUAACUGUAGGCAUUACUUUAAAACAAAAUAGUAAUACGUCAGACCUACCAUUAUUCUGCAAAUUUUCAACAUCCUUUUGAAGAAAAAAUGGCCACUAGUUGCAUUGGUGGUUCCUGUAACUCUUAGCAUGACAUUUGUGUUGGAAUUCUGCUUAUCGGAAACUCUUUGUUGGGAAGCAAGCUUGUGUUUGAAAGGUCUGAAAACAUGAUAAGAAGAUAAUUUCAGAUUUUAUUGAAAUAUCAAUAGCUAGAUAUGGCCAUUAAAUUUGCAUACUUACAAGAGCAGUAAUCAGGUGUUAUAAAGAAUUGUGCCAGGAUUUCCUAGAAAGCUCCCUUGGCUGUUGGAGAUUCUGCAACUGCAUAGCUCUUGGUGCAUUUCCAGGACCCUGAUGGCUUGAACAGUCACUUAUGGGGCUGUGGAGAAAUGGGUGGAGAAGUGUUUUGGGUUUGUUUGUUUCAGUAGAUGAGUCGAAGGUUAAGAAUCUGCUAUCAACAACACCUACAUGAUAGUCAGGUUAGGC
RNAcentral lists this unclassified non-coding RNA (4591 nucleotides) under Hevea brasiliensis (rubber tree). The record is from RNAcentral. Lineage: Eukaryota; Viridiplantae; Streptophyta; Magnoliopsida; Malpighiales; Euphorbiaceae.